RNAcentral lists this ribosomal RNA (537 nucleotides) under uncultured bacterium. RNAcentral's name for it is "bacterial SSU rRNA". It matches the Rfam family "Bacterial small subunit ribosomal RNA", at positions 29 to 526 of the family's 1533-position model. The record is from RNAcentral.
AAUGAACGUUGGCGGCGUGGAUUAGGCAUGCAAGUCGAGCGGUAGAGAACUGCUCACUUCGGGCUGUUUGGCUAGUAGCUAAAAGCUAAUAGCUGACAGCUUUGGAGUGAGCAGUUCUUGAGAGCGGCGAAAGGGAGAGUAACGCGUAGUUACGUACCCCGAGGACCGGAAUAGCCACGGGAAACUGUGGGUAAUGCCGGAUAAUAUCUUCGGAUCAAAGGUGUGAUUCCGCCAUGGGAGCGGACUGCGUUGUACUAGCUUGUUGGUGGGGUAAUGGCCUACCAAGGCGAUGAUGCAUAGCGGGUGUGAGAGCAUGACCCGUCUCACUGGGACUGAGACACUGCCCAGACACCUACGGGUGGCUGCAGUCGAGAAUCUUCGGCAAUGGGCGAAAGCCUGACCGAGCGACGCCGCGUGCGGGAUGAAGGCCCUCGGGUUGUAAACCGCGAAAGUAGGGAGGAAGGCUUCGUGAAGAACGAGGUUUGACCGAUCUACAGUAAGGACGGGCUAAGUACGUGCCAGCAGCCGCCGUAACAC